Benincasa hispida (wax gourd) is the source of this 2436-nucleotide non-coding RNA. NCBI's taxonomy places the organism in Eukaryota, Viridiplantae, Streptophyta, Magnoliopsida, Cucurbitales, Cucurbitaceae. The record is from RefSeq and is a predicted model, not a curated record.
CUAUAAAUACCUCAUCUUCGCCGCCUUGCAAAUCAAUCCUUCAUAUCUCUACCGAUCUCUCUGUUCUUUCUUCGAUUUCUGUUUUCAUUUUCUUUUUUCAAUUUCUUUCUUCGAUCUUCGUUGGAAUCUUCUCAAAGCAUCGACUAUGACUCUCGCUGCUUGUUUAUCAAUGGCAUCGGGAGUACGAAAAGAUGCAAAAUCGAUUUCAAAUCGGUACUACAUGGACCGGCAUUGCCGACCUAUCUACGGGUUCUGCCAUUUCUCGUUUGUUCCACAUAUCUCUUACUUCUCUAACCCUAACUGAAUGGAUUGAUUUACAAAUCCGGUACUGAUUUCUUGUUUCUGACUCUUUUAAGUGUUGUUUUAUGAAAUUGAUCUGCUCGAUGAUGAUUGUUUUUUGCUUUAACCACACCGAAGCGAACUGUGGCUGUGUCUUGAUCCUCAUUCAUUUAAACUUUUGAGUAGAUUUCAUUCUUGUUAUUGGUUUUCGCCUGACGACUCUUCCUCCUAUGAUUAGAGGAAUUUGUUUCAAUUUCCUCUUCUUUUAGGGGGAGGAUGAAGGGAAUUUCAAUCGCUUGAAGUGAUUUCUUUCUGGGCCUAAACGUUUUAGGAUCCGCCAGCUUCGAGUUUUCGCAUGUGGAAAACUUUGGCCUUUUUCUGAGAGCAAUUGUUCGUCAUUAAAAGCGAUUGUCAGUCUGUUAUUGAUCUUUUUUUUUUUUUGCCGAUGAAUUGAACUGAUGCUUUUGCUUUUGGGAAUCGAUCAUCCAAAUUGCUUUGUAUUUUUCAUGAAAUUUUCAUUUUUUUCUCUCGAUCAAGAAUUUUUUGUCUGGUAAACUGCCUGCAAAACACAAUGUAUUUAUCUUUCGAAAGUGACUUUUGUUACCCAUACAUUUGAAAGUGUUUAAUCGAUCGGAUCUUAAGGAAUUUAAUUGGGACUAAUUUUCAAAUAGUUAAAAUUACUUAGUUAUUUUCAAAAUAUUCAAGAUCAUUUUUAAUAUUCGAAACCAAUUUUGAUUAAAAGUGUAAAAUCAAACUUUCCAUUAACAUCUGGUUUUUUCAGAACUUUCUAUAUUCUAAUUUUGAUUGGAAUUUGAAUCAAAUUGAUUUUACGAGAAUAAGAUAUAACAUAGCAUUUUAUUCAUUUUAUCUAUUUUUUUCUAGUACGAUGUUAAGUAGUUUUGAAUUAGUUUAGGUUUGCCUUUUUGAACUUUUGGUUUUUUGAUUUCUUUUUUCUGUUUUGGUUGGUUGAUUUGGGUGUGUUUGGAAUGUAUUUUAAAGUGUUUAAUUCAAAAAAUAAACCAUUUUAGAAAAAAAAUUGUAGUGUUUGUUAAUAACUCAAUAUAGUGGUUUUUGAAGAGUAUUUUAAAUAAUUUUGGUCAAAAAUGUUCAAAUCAAAAUGAGUUUUUUUUUUUGAAAAAAAAUAUAUUUUUUCUUGUACAAAUAUCCAAAUGUGUUCUUUAUUUAAUUCACCCAACUCACAAAAGACGAUAAAAUAUUAUAUGAUUUAAAAAAUAAGUUGGUUUAAAAAAUAAGUAUUUUAAAUCAUUUUGAUUAAAAAUGUUUAAAAAAACUUAGUUCUGAAAAAAAUAUUUUUUAAGUCAAGGAAGAAAGAAGGGGUGAGUAUUGAAAGUCUAGGUAAGGGCAUGGUAUUCAUCCUGACUUCUUGGAACAAUGGACUUUCCCAUAGAAAUACAAAAUAAAGCCUGAUAUUGUGAUCGAUGGGCAAGGUAGCAGGUAAACAAGACCUUGCUAAUUCCUAAGCCAAGAAAGAAAAUAAUGCAAGAACUUCAGAUCUAUUAGUCUAAAACCAUCAUUAAGAAGCUCUUGUCAAUGUUAGUAAAGGAUGAAAGUUCCAAAACUUCAUACAGCAAGGUUAAGCAAAAUCUUAACAAUUACCAUCUUUGCAAUUGGAGAGAAGGUUUCAAUAUAGUCGACUCUCUUGUUGAGUGUACUCUUUUACUACCAAUUGGGCCUUAUAAUGUUCUAAAUUGCCAUUGCCAUCAGCCUUUUGUUUGAUCGUGUACACUCCCUUGCAUCCUAUGGAGUGAAGAUCAUAAGGCAACAAAACAAUAGACCAAAUAUGAUUAUCCUCCAUAGCUUAAAGAUAGAUUUGAGGUUCUUGCGUUGCGGAAACAUUGAGCACAAAAGUCAAGAAUUUAUCAUAGGACAAAUAUUUUUGGAGAGAACUUUGUGGUUGAAGAGUAUUGACUGUUGUUGGAGCAACCCACAGUGGUAAUCUUGUACGUAGGAAGACUUGUUGGAUGGCCUAGAUCUUCGAAUCACAUGGAUAAUGUCAACAAGAGAUUGAUCAGGAGCACUAUAGCACCACUGGGAACUGAGUUAUGAACAACAGUAGGCUGUGUAACAAUAUCAAGGGUUAUAUUAGGUUGUUCAACAAUAGCACCUUGUUUAAUAAUACCAGGCUGUUGGACAAUA